UACGUAGGGUGCGAGCGUUAUCCGGAUUUACUGGGCGUAAAGGGUGCGUAGGUGGUUUUUCAAGUCGGUGGUUAAAGGCUACGGCUCAACUGUAUUAAGCCUUCGAAACUGGAAGACUUGAGUGCAGGAGAGGAAAGUGGAAUUCCCAGUGUAGCGGUGAAAUGCGUAGAUAUUGAGAAGAACACCGGUGGCGAAGGCGACUUUCUGGACUGUAACUGACGCUGAGGCACGAAAGCGUGGGUAGCAAACAGG
RNAcentral lists this ribosomal RNA (252 nucleotides) under uncultured bacterium. RNAcentral's name for it is "partial 16S ribosomal RNA". It matches the Rfam family "Bacterial small subunit ribosomal RNA", at positions 524 to 776 of the family's 1533-position model. The record is from RNAcentral.